RNAcentral lists this ribosomal RNA (245 nucleotides) under uncultured bacterium. RNAcentral's name for it is "partial small subunit ribosomal RNA". It matches the Rfam family "Bacterial small subunit ribosomal RNA", at positions 26 to 285 of the family's 1533-position model. The record is from RNAcentral.
AGAAUCAACGCUGGCGGCGUGCCUAACACAUGCAAGUCGAACGAGAAAGUGGAGCAAUCCAUGAGUAAAGUGGCGCACGGGUGAGUAACACGUGACUAACCUACCCUUGAGUGGGGAAUAACUUCGGGAAACCGAGGCUAAUACCGCAUAACACCUACGGGUCAAAGGAGCAAUUCGCUUAAGGAGGGGGUCGCGGCAGAUUAGUUAGUUGGCGGGGUAAUGGCCCACCAAGACAGUGAUCUGUA